CAAGCUAAAAUGUUUGGGUGCUUGCCCAAUAAUCUUGAGAAGGUCUGGAACUGGAAGCUAAGGUGAAGCGAGCGGUUGAACUCUGGUAAGUGAAGUUUACAGAUAUUGGAGUGCUCUCAUCGGGUUUUCCUACUUUUUGUGUGUUGUUGGAAACAUAUAGAGAAGAAGGACCAGUAAAGAAGUUAGCAAAGGAGGCCAUGUAUUAUUGAUUAGUAC
Molecule: long non-coding RNA, 216 nt
Filed under: Aquilegia coerulea
Lineage: Eukaryota; Viridiplantae; Streptophyta; Magnoliopsida; Ranunculales; Ranunculaceae
Description: long non-coding RNA (ACOE_LNC000420)
Source: RNAcentral